Molecule: non-coding RNA, 74 nt
Organism: Cricetulus griseus (Chinese hamster)
Lineage: Eukaryota; Metazoa; Chordata; Mammalia; Rodentia; Cricetidae
Source: Rfam
CCACACAGCAUUGUACCCAGAAUCUGUCUCCAGACAUUGCACCUGGUGCUGUUAGCUUGUGAUUAAAUAUUUUU